This 678-nucleotide long non-coding RNA is filed under the name Homo sapiens (human). Its description in RNAcentral is "long intergenic non-protein coding RNA 1539". The record is from RNAcentral. Lineage: Eukaryota; Metazoa; Chordata; Mammalia; Primates; Hominidae.
GUACCCGUUUGAGUGGUCCACUUCUCAGUCCAACUCUGAUCUUGGUGUGCAGGGCAGCAGUAAAGAGAUCUGGAGUCUGGGAAGUUCAAGAGCAUGGCACCAACAUCUGGCAAGGGCUUUCAUUCUGCAUCAUCUCAUGGAGGAAAAUAAAAAGAUUUCAGGUAAAUCCAGAUUUGGAGCUUAAAUGACUCAAAUGCUUUGCCUACAUUGAUCCUACAUUCAGGCUGCUUACAUAUCUCUUGGCUUCUCUGAGAACCAGAUUGUCACCACUUAAAGGUCUGUUAGAAUUUUCACAAAACCUUCUCAACUGAUUUCUUCUUCAUGGGAAAGUAAAAGCAAUGAAAAUGCCUUCAAGUUAACUAGGUCUUAUUAGGUACAAAUUGUUGCAAGGAAAGUGAGGUGGGAUGGAAGUAGAAGGUUGUUCUGAAAUCAUCUUACAAAUGUCAGCAUUCAAGACCUGAGUAAUCCAAGAUAGCAAGAGCAGAUCAAUGAUCUCUAUACAGAAUGCUCUACAAAGGACUUGGAAGGAACGGUAAACCCACAGGGCUUUCAACCCUCUUCCUAUGAACAAUGGGGCUCAUAGGGUUUGCAAGAUACAGGAAGAAGCUCCUGGAGAUGCCAGACAAAGAAGGAAAGGUGAUCCAUCAACCUCCACCUGCUUUACAAACAGACAGCCCC